GACUAACGCUGGCGGAAUGCAUCAUACAUGCAAGUCGAACGAUGAGGCACCUUCGGGUGUACAUCAGUGGCGGACGGGUGAGUAACGCGUAGAUAACGUGCCUUGUACUGGGGGACAACAGUUGGAAACGACUGCUAAUACCGCAUAAGACCCAGGCUGAAAUGCCUGUGUUUAAAGCUCCGGCGGUACAAGAUCGGUCUGCGUCGGAUUAGCUUGUUGGUAGGGUAAUGGCCUACCAAGGCAACGAUCCGUAGCUGGUCUGAGAGGAUGGCCAGCCACAGUGGGACUGAGACACGGCCCAC
This 302-nucleotide ribosomal RNA is filed under the name uncultured bacterium. RNAcentral's name for it is "bacterial SSU rRNA". It matches the Rfam family "Bacterial small subunit ribosomal RNA", at positions 28 to 334 of the family's 1533-position model. The record is from RNAcentral.